Non-coding RNA from Taeniopygia guttata (zebra finch), 206 nucleotides. The record is from RefSeq and is a predicted model, not a curated record. Lineage: Eukaryota; Metazoa; Chordata; Aves; Passeriformes; Estrildidae.
AGGAGAAAGAGAAAAACAGUUACUGGGAAUUUGGAACAUUUAGACCACAUCUAAAACGAGAAAUUGAAAUUGUUACCCUUCAAUGUAAAUAUCAAGGGAGGAGAAGAAGUCUGUGACCUGGCAAUUUUACAAAACAAGAUGCGGUGAAUCUUAAGAUCAUUUCAAUAACAAGCCCUGCAGAAGCAAUAAAGGAAUAUAUAUCCUUA